RNAcentral lists this long non-coding RNA (1222 nucleotides) under Chinchilla lanigera (long-tailed chinchilla). RNAcentral describes it as "lncRNA (ENSCLAG00000025938.1)". The record is from RNAcentral. Lineage: Eukaryota; Metazoa; Chordata; Mammalia; Rodentia; Chinchillidae.
GUUCUGCUCCCUUCCUGUUUAAUAAUUAAUUCAGCUCUAAACCCCAAGGACCCGGGCUCAGCACCCGCUCCACAAAGCCGUACAGAAACAAAAUGCUUCCAGAACUGGGGGGGGACAGAGGAAGAGAGAAUCUAACAUUUCAAGAAACGUCGCCGCAUGGGGCCAGCAAGCGGGGGGCGGGGGUGAGAGUGGAAGGAGCCAGGGUGGAGUCUAAGUAAAACAAAUGUGCACAAAAGCAAGGUUAUUCGCGGCCAAGGCCCCCGCCUGGGAGCGCACUGUGGCCGGAAGCCGUCCCCUCCGGAAGCAGGCCCGGUGCCUGUGGCCAGUGGAGACCUAGAGGGCGAUGGGCUCAGUCUCCGUAACGGGAGAGACCAGCCUGGCUCUGCCUUCGUGGUGGAAAAGUAUCAGAGAAAGGGGCUGGGGAUGUAGCUCAGUGGCACGCGCCUGCCUGGCAAGCGCAAGGUCAUGAGUUUAAUUCCUGGUACUGGAAGAAAAAUAAAAAAAAACAAAAAACAAAAACGAAAAGUAUCAGAGAUGGGCAGAGGUCCUGCCCCUGCUGGCCCCAUAUGCCACCCCAGGGUCACAGUUCUGCCACUAGUGCAGGGGAUGGAGAAUGCCCUGCUGGGCCAGCAGCCGCGGGCGGAACAGGGCACAGGUCCUGAAAUGAAGGGGAGGGGACGGCUUACUGUCCCGUGGGGAGGGACAGCACAGAAACCUCCUGGUUCCUGCACUGAACAUUCAGGGACGAAAGCCCCCGAUCCAACGCAGCAACUGCCGGAUGCGGAGCCUCAGAGAGAGUCACCUUCUCUGCACUGUGGAAUCCUGCCCAGAAAGUAGCACACUGUAGGUGCCAGACGAGGCCAGAAGCCGCAGGAGCUCAUCGAAUCUCUUAUCACACACGCGAUGCAGAGAGGAGGAAGUUCGCUUCCCGGACGCGCCCGGCUCCAGCACACCGCAGGAUCAAACCGCUGGGCUCCCCGGCAACGGCAGAGGGACAGCCAAGUGUCCCAGCGCACCGCCGGCGAUGGCUCGUGCCAGCCAGGCGCUGACUGACGAAGGGAAAUGAAGGCCCAGGUGGCCAAAGAAAACACCAAAUUGUAUUUCCUUUCUUCUUAUUAUUGUAAAGAAGACGUGGCAUCGAGCGAGGCCUCAUACAGCCUCUGAGAUCAUAGUCGGGUAUUUCGAAAAAGACAGCCACAUAAUUAAACGGUUGAGUCAAACA